Molecule: ribosomal RNA, 467 nt
Filed under: uncultured bacterium
Lineage: Bacteria
Description: bacterial SSU rRNA
Rfam family: Bacterial small subunit ribosomal RNA
Source: RNAcentral
UUCCAGACUCCUACGGGAGGCAGCAGUGAGGAAUAUUGGUCAAUGGGCGGGAGCCUGAAUCAGCCAAGUCGCGUGAGGGAAGACGGUCCUACGGAUUGUAAACCUCUUUUGCCGGGGAGCAACGGGGUCCUUGCGAGGGCCCAAUGAGAGUACCCGGAGAAAAAGCAUCGGCUAACUCCGUGCCAGCAGCCGCGGUAAUACGGAGGAUGCGAGCGUUAUCCGGAUUUAUUGGGUUUAAAGGGUGCGUAGGCGGAUUGUUAAGUCAGCGGUAAACGCCCGGGGCCCAACCCCGGCGAGCCGUUGAAACUGGCUGUCUUGAGAUGUCGAGAGGUAUGCGGAAUGCGCAGUGUAGCGGUGAAAUGCUUAGAUAUUGCGCAGAACUCCGAUUGCGAAGGCAGCAUACCGGCGGCGAUCUGACGCUGAGGCACGAAAGCGUGGGUAUCGAACAGGAUUAGAUACCCCGGUAU